This 1373-nucleotide long non-coding RNA is filed under the name Homo sapiens (human). Its description in RNAcentral is "non-protein coding lnc-FOXK2-2:4". Lineage: Eukaryota; Metazoa; Chordata; Mammalia; Primates; Hominidae. The record is from RNAcentral.
UUAGUAGAGACUGGGUUUUACCAUAUUGGCCAGGCUGGUCUCCAACUCCUGACCUUGUAAUCUGCACGCCUUGGCCUCCCAAAAUGCUGGGAUUACAGGUGUGAGGUACCGCGCCCGGCUUCCUGAUGGUCUUUUUAAGCGCCCUACGAGUUUCAAAACCAUCUUUCGUUUCUGUUUUCAUGGAGUCAUGGAUGCUCACAGUCUGAAGUGCUGUCACGAUCCACGAUGUUGGACCCUGGCCCACCCGAACCCCUGUCUCCCUUCCCCAUUUUAAUCCUUUAAAAUAACUUCUUUUGCUAUGCAUCUCCAGAUUGAUGAAGAACAUACUUACAUUCCUACUUCCUGACAUUUCAGUUUUAGGCAUCCACUGACUUUCCACUACAGAAGAUGAAAAUGUAGCUCUCGGUCACUGACACACCCCACCCCUGUAACUCCAACACACACAGUCACACACAUCCUGUACUCACUGACACACCCCACCCCCGUAACUCUAACACACACUCACACGCUCCCUGUACUCACUGACACACCCCAACCCUGUAACCCUAACACACACAGUCACACAUCCUGUACUCACUGACACACUUCACCCCGUAACUCUAACACACUCACACGCUCUCUGUACUGACACACCUCACCCCUGUAACUCUAACACACACACUCUCACACACAUCCUGUACUCACUGACACACUUCACCCUGUAACUCUAACACACACACGCUCCCUGUACUAACUGACACACCCCACCCCUGUAACUCUAACACACACUCACAUGCUCCCUGUACUCACUGACACACCCCACCCCUGUAACUCUAACACACACACUCACACGCUCCCUGUACUCACUGACACACCCCACCCCUGUAACUCUAACACACACUCACAUGCUCCCUGUACCCACUGACACAGCUCACCCCGUAACUCUAACACACACACUCACACCCUGUACUCACUGACACACCCCACCCCGUCACUCUAAAACACACACACUCACACACCCUGUACCCACUGACACACCCCACCCCUGUAACUCUAACACACACUCACAUGCUCCCUGUACCCACUGACACAGCUCACCCCGUAACUCUAACACACACACUCACACCCUGUACUCACUGACACACCCCACCCCGUCACUCUAAAACACACACACUCACACACCCUGUACCCACUGACACACCCCACCCCUGUAACUCUAACACACACUCACAUGCUCCCUGUACCCACUGACACAGCUCACCCUGUAACUCUAACACACACACUCACCCACUGACACAGCUCACCCCUGUAACUCUAACACACACACACGCUCCCUGUACUCACUGACACACCCCACCCCUGUAACUCUAACACACACACUCACACGCUCCCUG